UACACGCAGCACAAGUGGUGGUCAUUAUUAUUGGGCCUAAAGCGUCCGUAGCUGGCUUGUUAGAUGCCUGGGUAAAUCGAUGCGCUCAACGUAUCGAACUCCGGGUAGACCGGCAAGCUUGGGACCGGGAGAGGCGUGAGCUACUCGAGGGGUAGGGGUAAAAUCCUGUAAUCCUUCGGGGAGGACCAGUGGCGAAGGCGUCACGCUAGAACGGCUCCGACAGUGAGGGACGAAGCCCUGGGGCGCAAACCGG
This 253-nucleotide ribosomal RNA is filed under the name uncultured bacterium. RNAcentral describes it as "partial 16S ribosomal RNA". It matches the Rfam family "Archaeal small subunit ribosomal RNA", at positions 474 to 727 of the family's 1478-position model. The record is from RNAcentral.